Molecule: small nuclear RNA, 93 nt
Organism: Erinaceus europaeus (western European hedgehog)
Lineage: Eukaryota; Metazoa; Chordata; Mammalia; Eulipotyphla; Erinaceidae
Source: Ensembl
GGGCUCUCUCCGGCAGCACAUAUACUAAAAUUGGAACGAUACAGAGAAGAUGAGCAUGACCCCUGUGCAAGGAAAUAAGUAUUUUAAUUUUUU